UGGGGAAUAUUGGACAAUGGGCGAAAGCCUGAUCCAGCCAUGGCGCGUGUGUGAAGAAGGUCUUCGGAUUGUAAAGCACUUUAAGUUGGGAGGAAGGGCAGUAAGCGAAUACCUUGCUGUUUUGACGUUACCGACAGAAUAAGCACCGGCUAACUCUGUGCCAGCAGCCGCGGUAAUACAGAGGGUGCAAGCGUUAAUCGGAAUUACUGGGCGUAAAGCGCGCGUAGGUGGUUCGUUAAGUUGAAUGUGAAAGCCCCGGGCUCAACCUGGGAACUGCAUCCAAAACUGGCGAGCUAGAGUAGGGCAGAGGGUGGUGGAAUUUCCUGUGUAGCGGUGAAAUGCGUAGAUAUAGGAAGGAACACCAGUGGCGAAGGCGACCACCUGGGCUCAUACUGACACUGAGGUGCGAAAGCGUGGGGAGCAAACAGG
RNAcentral lists this ribosomal RNA (429 nucleotides) under Pseudomonadota bacterium. Its description in RNAcentral is "Proteobacteria bacterium partial 16S ribosomal RNA". It matches the Rfam family "Bacterial small subunit ribosomal RNA", at positions 355 to 776 of the family's 1533-position model. Lineage: Bacteria; Pseudomonadati; Pseudomonadota. The record is from RNAcentral.